Molecule: ribosomal RNA, 492 nt
Filed under: uncultured bacterium
Lineage: Bacteria
Description: partial 16S ribosomal RNA
Rfam family: Bacterial small subunit ribosomal RNA
Source: RNAcentral
AGUGAACGCUGGCGGUAGGCCUAACACAUGCAAGUCGAACGGCAGCACAGUAAGAGCUUGCUCUUACGGGUGGCGAGUGGCGGACGGGUGAGGAAUACAUCGGAAUCUACUUUUUCGUGGGGGAUAAGGUAGGGAAACUUACGCUAAUACCGCAUACGACCUACGGGUGAAAGCAGGGGAUAUUCGGACCUUGCGCGAUUGAAUGAGCCGAUGUCGGAUUAGUUAGUUGGCGGGGUAAAGGCCCACCAAGGCGACGAUCCGUAGCUGGUCUGAGAGGAUGAUCAGCCACACUGGAACUGAGCCACGGUCCAGACUCCUACGGGAGGCAGCAGUGGGGAAUAUUGGACAAUGGGCGCAAGCCUGAUCCAGCCAUACCGCGUGGGUGAAGAAGGCCUUCGGGUUGUAAAGCCCUUUUGUUGGGAAAGAAAAGCAGCAGGUUAAUACCCCGCUGUUCUGACGGUACCCAAAGAAUAAGCACCGGCUAACUUCGUG